UGUCUGUGUGAGACUGUGUGUGAGACUGUCUGUGUGAGACUGUCUGUGUGACUGUCUGUGUGUGAGUGUGACUGUCUGUGUGAGUGUGUGACUGUCUGUGUGUGACUGUGUGAGACUGUCUGUGUGAGACUCUGUGUGUGACUGUCUGUGUGUGACUGUCUGUGUGAGUGUGUCUGUGUGAGACUCUGUGUGACUGUCUGUGUGUGUGUGACUGUCUGUGUGAGACUGUCUGUGUGAGACUGUCUGUGUGAGACUGUGUGAGACUGUCUGUGUGUGACUGUCUGUGUGAGACUGUGUGUGUGACUGUCUGUGUGUGACUGUCUGUGUGACUGUCUGUGUGUGAGUGUGACUGUCUGUGUGACUGUCUGUGUGUGAGUGUG
Non-coding RNA from Pelobates cultripes (western spadefoot toad), 380 nucleotides. NCBI's taxonomy places the organism in Eukaryota, Metazoa, Chordata, Amphibia, Anura, Pelobatidae. The record is from the annotation of a GenBank genome assembly.